Molecule: transfer RNA, 75 nt
Filed under: Lucasium damaeum (beaded gecko)
Lineage: Eukaryota; Metazoa; Chordata; Lepidosauria; Squamata; Diplodactylidae
Description: tRNA-Ser
Rfam family: tRNA
About the family: Transfer RNA (tRNA) molecules are approximately 80 nucleotides in length. Their secondary structure includes four short double-helical elements and three loops (D, anti-codon, and T loops).
Source: RNAcentral
AAGAGAGAAGCAUUGAAGUAGGUAGUGCGACUAGCUUGAAACUAGGAGGAGGGGGUUCGAGUCCCUCAUUUCUUG